RNAcentral lists this ribosomal RNA (253 nucleotides) under uncultured bacterium. RNAcentral describes it as "partial 16S ribosomal RNA". It matches the Rfam family "Bacterial small subunit ribosomal RNA", at positions 524 to 776 of the family's 1533-position model. The record is from RNAcentral.
UACGAACCGUCCAAACGUUACUCGGAAUCACUGGGCUUAAAGGGUGCGUAGGCCGCGCGGAGGGUGGGAUGUGAAAUCCCCCGGCUCAACCGGGGAAUAGCGUCCCAAACCGCCGUGCUCGAGGGAGACAGAGGUGAGCGGAACUGAUGGUGGAGCGGUGAAAUGCGUUGAUAUCAUCAGGAACACCAGUGGCGAAGGCGGCUCACUGGGUCUUUCCUAACGCUGAGGCACGAAAGCUAGGGGAGCGAACGGG